Molecule: long non-coding RNA, 206 nt
Filed under: Mytilus galloprovincialis (Mediterranean mussel)
Lineage: Eukaryota; Metazoa; Mollusca; Bivalvia; Mytilida; Mytilidae
Source: RNAcentral
UUGCCGUUGAAAAUAGUCUGAACUAUUACUCGACCAGUCUGAAACAGUCUUAACCCAUUCUCGACCUGUACUCGACCUAUUUUUCCAGUCUAAACCAUACUUAACCAAAGGUCAGAACAAUACUCGACCAGUCUGAACCAUACUAGACCAAAAAACCUCUACUUUUUUAACUGUUAAAAUAAUUUUCUUUUUAACUGACAUAUAUA